GUAGCUGAAGGUACAGUAUGAAUAAGCACCGGCUAACUCCGUGCCAGCAGCCGCGGUAAUACGGAGGGUGCAAGCGUUAUCCGGAUUUAUUGGGUUUAAAGGGUCCGUAGGCGGAUCUGUAAGUCAGUGGUGAAAUCUCACAGCUUAACUGUGAAACUGCCAUUGAUACUGCAGGUCUUGAGUAAAGUAGAAGUGGCUGGAAUAAGUAGUGUAGCGGUGAAAUGCAUAGAUAUUACUUAGAACACCAAUUGCGAAGGCAGGUCACUAUGUUUUAACUGACGCUGAUGGACGAAAGCGUGGGGAGCGAACAGGAUUAGAUACCCUGGUAGUCCACNUAGCCACCUGGGGAGUACGUUCGCAAGAAUGAAACUCAAAGGAAUUGACGGGGGCCCGCACAAGCGGUGGAUUAUGUGGUUUAAUUCGAUGAUACGCGAGGAACCUUACCAAGGCUUAAAUGGGAAUUGACAGGUUUGGAAACAGACUUUUCUUCGGACAAUUUUCAAGGUGCUGCAUGGUUGUCGUCAGCUCGUGCCGUGAGGUGUUAGGUUAAGUCCUGCAACGAGCGCAACCCCUGUCACUAGUUGCCAUCAUUCAGUUGGGGACUCUAGUGAGACUGCCUACGCAAGUAGAGAGGAAGGUGGGGAUGACGUCAAAUCAUCACGGCCCUUACGCCUUGGGCCACACACGUAAUACAAUGGCCGGUACAGAGGGCAGCUACUAUGCGAAUAGAUGCGAAUCUCGAAAGCCGGUCUCAGUUCGGAUUGGAGUCUGCAACUCGACUCUAUGAAGCUGGAAUCGCUAGUAAUCGCGCAUCAGCCAUGGCGCGGUGAAUACGUUCCCGGGCCUUGUACACACCGCCCGUCAAGCCAUGGAAGUCUGGGGUACCUGAAGUCGGUGACCGUAACAGGAGCUGCCUAGGGUAAAACAGGUAACUAGGGCUAAGUCGUAACAAGGUAGCCGUACCGGAAGGUGCGGCUGGAACAUCUCAUUU
Molecule: non-coding RNA, 991 nt
Filed under: Chryseobacterium sp. Leaf394
Lineage: Bacteria; Pseudomonadati; Bacteroidota; Flavobacteriia; Flavobacteriales; Weeksellaceae
Description: Bacterial small subunit ribosomal RNA
Rfam family: Bacterial small subunit ribosomal RNA
Source: Rfam by way of RNAcentral